CCUACGGGUGGCAGCAGUGGGGGAUAUUGCACAAUGGGGGGAACCCUGAUGCAGCGACGCCGCGUGGGUGAAGGAGUGCUUCGGCAUGUAAAGCCCUAUCGGCAGGGAAGAAGCAAUACGCUACCUGACUAAGAAGCCUCGGCUAAAUACGUGCCAGCAGCCGCGGUAAUACGUAGGGGGCGAGCGUUCUCCGGAUGCACUGGGUGUAAAGGGAGCGUAGACGGGCAAGCAAGCCAGGGGGGAAAGCCCGGGGGUCAACCCCGGGACUGCCCUUGGAACUGCAUGGCUGGAGUGCGGGAAGGGCAAGCGGAAUUCCUGGUGUAGCGGUGAAAUGCGUAGAUAUCAGGAGGAACACCGGCGGCGAAGGCGGCCGGCUGGACCGCGACUGACGUUGAGGCUCGAAAGCGUGGGGAGCGAACAGGAUUAGAUACCCGGGUAGUC
RNAcentral lists this ribosomal RNA (441 nucleotides) under uncultured bacterium. Its description in RNAcentral is "partial 16S ribosomal RNA". It matches the Rfam family "Bacterial small subunit ribosomal RNA", at positions 338 to 795 of the family's 1533-position model. The record is from RNAcentral.